CAGGAGAAAAGGCAACAAAUUCUUAAUGAGAUGAGAACAUUAUGUGAAGCAAGUUGCUAUCCUGGUUUAGUUGAAUUCCAGGGUGCAUUUUACAUGCCUGAUUCUGGACAAAUAAGCAUUGCCCUUGAAUACAUGGAUGGUGGCUCUUUAGCAGACGUUAUAAAAGUCAAGAAAUCAAUACCAGAGCCAGUUCUUGCACAUAUGCUACAGAAAGUGUUACUUGGCCUGAAGUACUUGCAUGAAGUAAGACAUCUAGUGCAUAGAGAUCUAAAGCCAGCAAAUUUACUGGUAAACCUUAAGGGCGAAGCAAAAAUUACAGAUUUUGGUGUAAGUGCUGGUUUGGACAAUACAAUGGCUAUGUGUGCUACCUUUGUAGGCACUGUGACAUAUAUGUCACCUGAGAGAAUCCGCAAUGAGAACUACUCCUAUGCUGCUGAUAUUUGGAGUCUUGGACUAACGAUAUUGGAGUGUGCUACUGGUAAAUUUCCAUAUAAUGUCAACGAAGGCCCAGCCAAUCUCAUGCUACAGAUACUCGAUGAUCCAUCACCAACACCACCAGAAGAUGCCUAUACACCAGAAUUUUGUUCCUUCAUAAAUGAUUGCUUGAGGAAAGAUGCUGAUGCAAGGCCUACAUGCGAGCAGCUUUUGUCACACGCAUUUAUCAAGAGGUAUGAGCAAACUGGUGUGGACUUGGCAGCAUAUGUCAGGGGUGUUGUUAAUCCAACAGAGAGAUUAAAGCAAAUAGCAGAGAUGCUUGCUGUUCAUUAUUACCUCCUUUUUAAUGGCUCUGAAGGACCUUGGAAUUAUAUGAAGACAUUCUACAAGGAGGAAUCAUCUUUCAGUUUUUCAGGGAAUGUGUAUGUCGGACAAAGUGCCAUAUUUGAUACUUUAUCAAAUAUAAGAAAGAAGUUGAAAGGUGACCGGCCUAGAGAAAAAAUUGUUCAUGUUGUUGAGAAGCUACAUUGCCGCGCGAAUGGGGAAACAGAAAUUGCUAUCCGUGUGUCUGGAUCAUUCAUCACGGGCAACCAAUUCCUGAUAUUUGGUGAAGGGUUGCAAGCUGAAGGGAUGCCCAGCUUGGAGGAAAUUGAUAUUGACAUUCCAAGCAAGCGGGUUGGCCAGUUCCGGGAGCAGUUUACCGUGCAUCCAGGGACUUCCAUGGGAUGCUACUACAUAGCAAAGCAAGAUCUCUACAUCGUCCAGUCAUGA
Molecule: ribosomal RNA, 1206 nt
Filed under: Triticum aestivum (bread wheat)
Lineage: Eukaryota; Viridiplantae; Streptophyta; Magnoliopsida; Poales; Poaceae
Description: partial small subunit ribosomal RNA
Source: RNAcentral